RNAcentral lists this ribosomal RNA (404 nucleotides) under uncultured Arthrobacter sp. Its description in RNAcentral is "bacterial SSU rRNA". It matches the Rfam family "Bacterial small subunit ribosomal RNA", at positions 1 to 404 of the family's 1533-position model. The record is from RNAcentral. Lineage: Bacteria; Bacillati; Actinomycetota; Actinomycetes; Micrococcales; Micrococcaceae.
UAGUGAGUUUGAUCCUGGCUCAGGAUGAACGCUGGCGGCGUGCUUAACACAUGCAAGUCGAACGAUGAUCCGGUGCUUGCACCGGGGAUUAGUGGCGAACGGGUGAGUAACACGUGAGUAACCUGCCCUUAACUCUGGGAUAAGCCUGGGAAACUGGGUCUAAUACCGGAUAUGACUCCUCAUCGCAUGGUGGGGGGUGAAAGCUUUUUUGUGGUUUUGGAUGGACUCGCGGCCUAUCAGCUUGUUGGUGAGGUAAUGGCUCACCAAGGCGACGACGGGUAGCCGGCCUGAGAGGGUGACCGGCCACACUGGGGACUGAGACACGGCCCAGACUCCGUACGGGAGGCAGCGAGUGGGGAAUAUUGCACAAUGGGGCGAAAGCCUGAUGCAGCGACGCCGCGUGA